RNAcentral lists this ribosomal RNA (496 nucleotides) under uncultured bacterium. Its description in RNAcentral is "partial 16S ribosomal RNA". It matches the Rfam family "Bacterial small subunit ribosomal RNA", at positions 28 to 523 of the family's 1533-position model. The record is from RNAcentral.
GAUGAACGCUAGCGGCAGGCCUAACACAUGCAAGUCGAGGGGUAGAGUUAGCUUGCUAACUUGAGACCGGCGCACGGGUGCGUAACGCGUAUGCAAUCUACCUUGUACAGGGGGAUAGCCCAGAGAAAUUUGGAUUAAUACCCCAUGGUGUUUAGAAGUGGCAUCACUUUUUUACUAAAGUUCCAACGGUACAAGAUGAGCAUGCGUCCCAUUAGCUAGUUGGUAUGGUAACGGCAUACCAAGGCUAUGAUGGGUAGGGGUCCUGAGAGGGAGAUCCCCCACACUGGUACGAAGACCCGGACCAGACUCCGACGGGAGGCAGCAGUGAGGAAUAUUGGUCAAUGGUCGCAAGACUGAACCAGCCAUGCCGCGUGCAGGAAGACGGUCCUAUGGAUUGUAAACUGCUUUUAUACAGGAAGAAACCCUCUCACGUGUGGGAGCUUGACGGUACUGUAUGAAUAAGCAUCGGCUAACUCCGUGCCAGCCGCCGCCGUAA